GAGGGUGCAGCUCAGUGGGAGAGCACGUGCUUAGCAUGCACGAGGUCCUGGGUUAACUCCCCGUACCUCCA
Molecule: transfer RNA, 71 nt
Filed under: Camelus bactrianus (Bactrian camel)
Lineage: Eukaryota; Metazoa; Chordata; Mammalia; Artiodactyla; Camelidae
Also listed under: 2 other names
Rfam family: tRNA
About the family: Transfer RNA (tRNA) molecules are approximately 80 nucleotides in length. Their secondary structure includes four short double-helical elements and three loops (D, anti-codon, and T loops).
Source: Rfam by way of RNAcentral